AUUAAGCCACAUGUUAGUUUUUUUAGCAGGCUAUGAGCAGGUAAGCUUAGGAUAUGCUAAUCAAAUAGAAACCAAGGAGUGUGACAGCUUCAGGAAUUUGUCUGAGAAAAAUCUGAGAGAUCUUUUGAAAUUUGUGAAAUAUCAUCAAUCCAGAGGUUGUCCUAAACCUAAAACAGCAAAGGAGAUGUGGUUGAAGAUGCAAAAUGGAAAAAAAACAAGACUAAAGAAACUUAAUUCCGUGUUCAUGGACAAAGCACUCAGCUGGAGUCUCCAAAGUCAUAGGAGCUCAUGGAACCAUCUAUUUUGCCAUAGUGUUACCCUGGACAUGAGUCCAGUAUCCCUAAUGGUAAUGCAGCUUACCUGUUACCCAGCCUUGGCACCACCAUCUUCUGUGUAAUAUUAUUAGGAGGAUGUGGAGAGCACUUGUCACUUUUCUACAGUUCAGCAUAGGAAGAGAAACAGUAACAAUACUGGCUGUUAUAACACCAUACAGUUCCAUGCUCAGUCAGUAGCUUCAACUUCUGAUGUAUGUGAAGCACUCCUCAGUGAGACCGUGUGUCAUGCACCAACAACCAAAGAUGAAAAAUUUAAUUUUUUACCCCUCAUUAUUAAAGAAAUGACUCCCUGCC
Pseudopipra pipra is the source of this 629-nucleotide long non-coding RNA. RefSeq lists it as uncharacterized. NCBI's taxonomy places the organism in Eukaryota, Metazoa, Chordata, Aves, Passeriformes, Pipridae. The record is from RefSeq and is a predicted model, not a curated record. The transcript has 2 exons.